GAAGUGGGCUGGGCGGCCGCUGCUGACAUGGUCAGGAGAGGAAGGUCCGGACUCCAUAGGGAAGGGUGACGGCUAACGGCCGUACGCAGCAAGUGGGAUGAGACGCCCACCCAAGGCGAGGAAUAGGGCCACAGAGACGAGUAAUUGCGGCCUUCGGGCUGCAAGGAUGUGAAACGCGGUAACCUCCACCCGGAGCAACACCAAAUAGGCACACGGGUGUUCGGUGGAUCCGUCCACCGGAUACGAAGGGCGUCCCGUUCAAGUGUGCGGGUAGGUGGCUUGAGCCUGGUAGCAAUGCCAGGCCUAGAGGGAUGGCCGCUAUAGACCAAGGCCGAGGGUGGCCAAGGUCCGUAACAGAAUCCGGCCUACAGGCCCACUUCCCUU
This 384-nucleotide RNase P RNA is filed under the name Burkholderiaceae bacterium. Its description in RNAcentral is "RNase P RNA component class A". It matches the Rfam family "Bacterial RNase P class A". Rfam says of the family: Ribonuclease P (RNase P) is a ubiquitous endoribonuclease, found in archaea, bacteria and eukarya as well as chloroplasts and mitochondria. The record is from RNAcentral. Lineage: Bacteria; Pseudomonadati; Pseudomonadota; Betaproteobacteria; Burkholderiales; Burkholderiaceae.